GAUGAACGCUGGCGGUAUGCUUAACACAUGCAAGUCGAACGGACUCUUCGGAGUUAGUGGCGGACGGGUGAGUAACGCGUGAGAAUCUGGCUUUGGGUUCGGGACAACCACUGGAAACGGUGGCUAAUACCGGAUGUGCCGAGAGGUAAAAGAGAAAUUGCCUGAAGAUGAGCUCGCGUCUGAUUAGCUAGUUGGUGAGGUAAAGGCUCACCAAGGCAGCGAUCAGUAGCUGGUCUGAGAGGAUGACCAGCCACACUGGGACUGAGACACGGCCCAGACUCCUACGGGAGGCAGCAGUGGGGAAUUUUCCGCAAUGGGCGAAAGCCUGACGGAGCAAUACCGCGUGAGGGAAGAAGGCUCUUAGGUUGUAAACCUCUUUUCUUAGGGAAGAACAAAAUGACGGUACCUAAGGAAUCAGCAUCGGCUAACUCCGUG
This 435-nucleotide ribosomal RNA is filed under the name uncultured bacterium. Its description in RNAcentral is "partial 16S ribosomal RNA". It matches the Rfam family "Bacterial small subunit ribosomal RNA", at positions 28 to 507 of the family's 1533-position model. The record is from RNAcentral.